RNAcentral lists this ribosomal RNA (408 nucleotides) under uncultured Protaspa. RNAcentral describes it as "partial small subunit ribosomal RNA". It matches the Rfam family "Eukaryotic small subunit ribosomal RNA", at positions 30 to 432 of the family's 1831-position model. The record is from RNAcentral. Lineage: Eukaryota; Cercozoa; Thecofilosea; Cryomonadida.
GCUUGUCUCAAAGAUUAAGCCAUGCAUGUCUAAGUGUAAAUAAGUCUAUACUGUGAAACUGCGAAUGGCUCAUUAAAUCAGUUAUCGUUUAUUUGAUGAUCUCUUACUACUUGGAUAACCGUAGUAAUUCUAGAGCUAAUACAUGCGUAAAGUCCCAACUCUCGCGGGGAGGGAUGUAUUUAUUAGAUAAAAAACCAAUGCGGCCUCUGGUCGGUAUUGUGGUGAAUCAUAGUAACUUUUCGAAUCGCAUGGCUUCACGCCGGCGAUAGUUCAUUCAAAUUUCUGCCCUAUCAGCUUUCGACGGUAGUGUAGUGGACUACCGUGGCGUUAACGGGUAACGGAGAAUUAGGGUUCGAUUCCGGAGAGGGAGCCUGAGAAACGGCUACCACAUCCAAGGAAGGCAGCAGG